CAUAUGGUUUGUUUACAAACCACAAACAUUAUAUUAAAGUAUGUGU
This is a non-coding RNA of Felis catus (domestic cat), 46 nucleotides long. NCBI's taxonomy places the organism in Eukaryota, Metazoa, Chordata, Mammalia, Carnivora, Felidae. The record is from Rfam.